CCUACGGGAGGCAGCAGUGAGGAAUAUUGGUCAAUGGGCGCGAGCCUGAACCAGCCAAGUCGCGUGAGGGAGGACGGCCCUACGGGUUGUAAACCUCUUUUGCCGGGGAGCAACGGGCGCCACGUGUGGCGUCACUGAGAGUACCCGGAGAAAAAGCAUCGGCUAACUCCGUGCCAGCAGCCGCGGUAAGACGGAGGAUGCGAGCGUUAUCCGGAUUUAUUGGGUUUAAAGGGUGCGUAGGCGGAGCGGUAAGUCAGUGGUAAAAUUGAGGGGCUCAACCCCUUCCCGCCAUUGAAACUGGAGUUCUUGAGUGGGAGAGAGGUAUGCGGAAUGCGGGGUGUAGCGGUGAAAUGCAUAGAUAUCACGCAGAACCCCGAUUGCGAAGGCAGCAUGCCGGCUUCCGACUGACGCUGAAGCACGAAAGCGUGGGGAUCGAACAGGAUGAGAUACCCCUGUAGUC
RNAcentral lists this ribosomal RNA (460 nucleotides) under uncultured bacterium. RNAcentral describes it as "partial 16S ribosomal RNA". It matches the Rfam family "Bacterial small subunit ribosomal RNA", at positions 338 to 795 of the family's 1533-position model. The record is from RNAcentral.